This 324-nucleotide ribosomal RNA is filed under the name Thaumatomastix sp. RNAcentral describes it as "SSU rRNA". The stretch from base 107 to 324 matches the Rfam family "Eukaryotic small subunit ribosomal RNA", at positions 736 to 955 of the family's 1831-position model. The record is from RNAcentral. Lineage: Eukaryota; Cercozoa; Imbricatea; Thaumatomonadida; Thaumatomastigidae.
GAUUUCUGGUUUGGUGCGCCUGGCCCACUGCCUUCAGGUAUGUGAGUGCCGGUGCGCGCCUGCCAUCCCUUCUAGAAAACGGUUCUGCCCUUCACUGGUGUCGGAAUCGCGAUCUAGAUCUUUUACUUUGAAAAAAUUAGAGUGUUUAAAGCAGGCUUGCGCUAUGAAUACAUUAGCAUGGAAUAAUAAUUUAGGACUUUGGUCUUAUUUUGUUGGUUUCUAGGACUAAAGUAAUGAUUGAUAGGGACAGUUGGGGGUGCUAGUAUUCAGCGGCCAGAGGUGAAAUUCUUGGAUUCGCUGAAGACUAACUUAUGCGAAAGCAUU